UAAACUAGGAUUAGAUACCCUAUUAUUUAAAGUGUAAAUAUAUUAACUAGAGUAGUAGUAGUUAUGUUCUUGAAACUAAAAAAAUUUGGCGGUAUUUUAGUCUUUUCAGAGGAACCUGUUGUUUAAUCGAUAAUCCACGAUGGACCUAACUUAAUUUUGUUUUUCAGUUUGUAUAUCGCUGUUAUAGAAUAUUUUAUAAGAAUAAUAAUUUUCAAUAAAUUUUAUAAAAUUGUAUAUCAAGUCAAGGUCCAGUUUAUAAUUAAGUAUUAAAUGGGUUACAAUAAAUAUAUUUAUACGGAAUAAUAAGUGAAAUAUUAUUAGGAAGGUGGAUUUGAUAGUAAAUUUUUAUAGAUAGAAAAAUUGAUUAUAAGCUCUAAAAUAUGUACACAUCGCC
This 394-nucleotide ribosomal RNA is filed under the name Chersodromia nigripennis. Its description in RNAcentral is "partial 12S ribosomal RNA". The record is from RNAcentral. Lineage: Eukaryota; Metazoa; Arthropoda; Insecta; Diptera; Hybotidae.